GAUUGAACGCUGGCGGCAGGCCUAACACAUGCAAGUCGAGCGGAAACGAGUUAUCUGAACCUUCGGGGRACGAUAACGGCGUCGAGCGGCGGACGGGUGAGUAAUGCCUAGGAAAUUGCCCUGAUGUGGGGGAUAACCAUUGGAAACGAUGGCUAAUACCGCAUNAUGCCUACGGGCCAAAGAGGGGGACCUUCGGGCCUCUCGCGUCAGGAUAUGCCUAGGUGGGAUUAGCUAGUUGGUGAGGUAAGGGCUCACCAAGGCGACGAUCCCUAKCUGGUCUGAGAGGAUGAUCAGCCACACUGGAACUGAGACACGGUCCAGACUCCUACGGGAGGCAGCAGUGGGGAAUAUUGCACAAUGGGCGCAAGCCUGAUGCAGCCAUGCCGCGUGUGUGAAGAAGGCCUUCGGGUUGUAAAGCACUUUCAGUCGUGAGGAAGGUAGUGUAGUUAAUAGCUGCAUUAUUUGACGUUAGCGACAGAAGAAGCACCGGCUAACUCCGUGCCAGCAGCCGCGGUAAUACGGAGGGUGCGAGCGUUAAUCGGAAUUACUGGGCGUAAAGCGCAUGCAGGUGGUUUGUUAAGUCAGAUGUGAAAGCCCGGGGCUCAACCUCGGAAUAGCAUUUGAAACUGGCAGACUAGAGUACUGUAGAGGGGGGUAGAAUUUCAGGUGUAGCGGUGAAAUGCGUAGAGAUCUGAAGGAAUACCGGUGGCGAAGGCGGCCCCCUGGACAGAUACUGACACUCAGAUGCGAAAGCGUGGGGAGCAAACAGGAUUAGAUACCCUGGUAGUCCACGCCGUAAACGAUGUCUACUUGGAGGUUGUGGCCUUGAGCCGUGGCUUUCGGAGCUAACGCGUUAAGUAGACCGCCUGGGGAGUACGGUCGCAAGAUUAAAACUCAAAUGAAUUGACGGGGGCCCGCACAAGCGGUGGAGCAUGUGGUUUAAUUCGAUGCAACGCGAAGAACCUUACCUACUCUUGACAUCCAGAGAACUUUCCAGAGAUGGAUUGGUGCCUUCGGGAACUCUGAGACAGGUGCUGCAUGGCUGUCGUCAGCUCGUGUUGUGAAAUGUUGGGUUAAGUCCCGCAACGAGCGCAACCCUUAUCCUUGUUUGCCAGCGAGUAAUGUCGGGAACUCCAGGGAGACUGCCGGUGAUAAACCGGAGGAAGGUGGGGACGACGUCAAGUCAUCAUGGCCCUUACGAGUAGGGCUACACACGUGCUACAAUGGCGCAUACAGAGGGCGGCCAACUUGCGAAAGUGAGCGAAUCCCAAAAAGUGCGUCGUAGUCCGGAUUGGAGUCUGCAACUCGACUCCAUGAAGUCGGAAUCGCUAGUAAUCGUGGAUCAGAAUGCCACGGUGAAUACGUUCCCGGGCCUUGUACACACCGCCCGUCACACCAUGGGAGUGGGCUGCAAAAGAAGUAGGUAGUUUAACCUUCGGGGGGACGCUUACCACUUUGUGGUUCAUGACUGGGGUGAAGUCGUAACAAGGUAACC
This 1495-nucleotide ribosomal RNA is filed under the name Vibrio sp. AB344f. RNAcentral's name for it is "16S ribosomal RNA". It matches the Rfam family "Bacterial small subunit ribosomal RNA". The record is from RNAcentral. Lineage: Bacteria; Pseudomonadati; Pseudomonadota; Gammaproteobacteria; Vibrionales; Vibrionaceae.